This 262-nucleotide ribosomal RNA is filed under the name uncultured prokaryote. RNAcentral describes it as "partial 16S ribosomal RNA". It matches the Rfam family "Bacterial small subunit ribosomal RNA", at positions 524 to 784 of the family's 1533-position model. The record is from RNAcentral.
UACGUAGGUGGCGAGCGUUGUCCGGAUUUACUGGGCGUAAAGGGAGCGUAGGCGGACUUUUGAGUGAGAUGUGAAAUACCCGGGCUCAACUUGGGUGCUGCAUUUCAAACUGGAAGUCUAGAGUGCAGGAGAGGAGAAUGGAAUUCCUAGUGUAGCGGUGAAAUGCGUAGAGAUUAGGAAGAACACCAGUGGCGAAGGCGAUUCUCUGGACUGUAACUGACGCUGAGGCUCGAAAGCGUGGGGAGGCAAACAGGAUUAGAUA